RNAcentral lists this ribosomal RNA (254 nucleotides) under uncultured bacterium. Its description in RNAcentral is "partial 16S ribosomal RNA". It matches the Rfam family "Bacterial small subunit ribosomal RNA", at positions 524 to 776 of the family's 1533-position model. The record is from RNAcentral.
UACAGAGGUCCCAAGCGUUGUUCGGAUUCACUGGGCGUAAAGGGUGCGUAGGUGGUGAGGUAAGUCGGAUGUGAAAUCUCCGAGCUCAACUCGGAAAUGGCAUUGGAAACUACCUUGCUAGAGGGUUGGAGGGGGGACGUGGAAUACUUGGUGUAGCAGUGAAAUGCGUAGAUAUCAAGUGGAACACCAGUGGCGAAGGCGAGUCCCUGGACAACUCCUGACACUGAGGCACGAAAGCUAGGGGAGCAAACAGG